CAUGAUUCUUGCCCUGAGUGGCGU
Molecule: microRNA, 24 nt
Filed under: Ananas comosus (pineapple)
Lineage: Eukaryota; Viridiplantae; Streptophyta; Magnoliopsida; Poales; Bromeliaceae
Description: microRNA s1564_c090b
Source: RNAcentral